Centrocercus urophasianus (Greater sage-grouse) is the source of this 426-nucleotide long non-coding RNA. RefSeq lists it as uncharacterized. Lineage: Eukaryota; Metazoa; Chordata; Aves; Galliformes; Phasianidae. The record is from RefSeq and is a predicted model, not a curated record. The transcript has 2 exons.
GCCGGACGGGCAUCGGGGGCCGCCCGACGCGGCGCGGGGCACGUGCUGGAUGGGUUUCAGUCACGCUGGGAUGGAUGGCAGUGCAUCCCCAUCGCCGCUCUAAUACUCUAACGCACAAGGCGGGAAGGGAAGGAGGAUCACCUCGAGCCUCACAGACAGCUGUUGGCAAGGAAGAUGGUGUCUGGAGGCAGAGGCGCGAAGGCAGUAGCUACCUGAAAGUACGACCGGAUUGUUUUUCCUCCAGGAAUUACAGGAACCAUCCUUGCAGUUAUAAGUCAUUUAAUGCAAAUCAUUUAAUCCAAACAGAAUUUUUACAGGCUCAUGAGGCUCACUCAUUUUGCCAAGAGUGAGUCAUGUACAAAUAAAAUGAAACCAACAAAGAAAAGAACUCUCAUACCAUGUGUAUGUGGGUGAUCCUUUGAAAAA